This is a non-coding RNA of Desmophyllum pertusum, 76 nucleotides long. The record is from the annotation of a GenBank genome assembly. NCBI's taxonomy places the organism in Eukaryota, Metazoa, Cnidaria, Anthozoa, Scleractinia, Caryophylliidae.
UCUCCUGUAGGCUCAGUGGUAGUAGGCGUUAAGACCGAUGUGCGUAAGGUCAUAGGUUCGACUCCUGUUGGGAGAA